AGUAAUCUAUACAGCACAAUGGUGGGUGGUGAUUGGCCAUGUGCUGAUAAUGUAACAUUUUAAAUACAGGUAAUUUAUUUUAACAUAAAGAUUGAUGCACUAUUCCCCAUCUACCUCACAGCCUCAUUGACAUCAACCAUUUGGUUUCUUGUAGGUGACAUAGUAGAAGUGGGUAUCCAGGAUGUAUUUGAAUAAGGAGAAGGCACCGGCCUUUGCAAACCAGCCAGGAAAGGAAAUUCCACACAUAGGGUGCAACAUGGAAGAAAGUACAGAAAUGGUUGUGAGAGAAGAUGAAAACAUGUCACUGCAUCUGGGAUUAUUGGCUGAGGAGAAAGAUAACACCACAAGAGUCGACAAGGACAUUAAUGGUCUAGAAGAGUGAGAGUGCUGUGUCUGGAGGCCCAGCUGAUUGAGAACCCCCUGCUAACUAGACAACAGACACUAAACACAUGAAUCCCGUGACUUGCAUUCCAGUGCCUAUGUGUACCCUCCUCCACCCCCAGCAGGGAACCUACAUCUCUCUUGGCCAGGGAGUCUCCUUUCUCUCUUACCCACACACUGCAUGAGACAGUACUGCCAGAAGAGGAGUUCUCGACGGACUUCCCUGUGCUCCUCCACACAGGAACUGGCUCCCUGCACACCUGAUCACAGCACCAUUUGGCCCAGCCACCCUGCUGUCUGGACAAAUUUCAGUGGCAUUGCAACCAACACAGCCAGAGUGACACUCCAGCCCACUCUAGCACUGGACCACAGCUAAGGAGUACAACAUGGCUCCCUACACCCAGCUCAGAGACAUAUGGAACUCUGAGCAAGUGCAAAAAUCUUGGGGGGAAGCAUUAUUGUGUCCCUUCUUUUGUGGCACUGAGCCCCUGGCAGCAGUCUUUAGGGGAUAUUUCUAAAUUAACUCACAAAUCGCUUUUCCAGUCAGCAUGCAGCAGCAACUGUCCAAUUAGCAGAUAUUCCCUCAUUUCCGUCUGCACUCCCAGAUUCAUUAUUCUAAAUCUAUCUCCAAAUUUGUCAAGGUUCCUUCCCCAUUCUGGACUCUAGGGUACAGAUGUGGGGACCUGCAUGAAAGACCCCCUAAGCUUAUUCUUACCAGCUUAAGUUAAAAACUUC
Molecule: long non-coding RNA, 1116 nt
Organism: Chelonia mydas (Green sea turtle)
Lineage: Eukaryota; Metazoa; Chordata; Testudines; Cheloniidae
Exons: 3
Source: RefSeq, a predicted model, not a curated record